GUUCUGGUUGUGGUCCCUUGUGGUUGUACUAUUAUUAUCGUGGCGCGUCUCCGUAUAGUUUAGUUAUUAGUUGCUUCACAGCUUCACGUUGUGAAAUAAUAAUUUAACUUGAUUUUUUUCCAAUUAAUUAGUUGAUAUUGAUAAUUCACAUAAUCUCAUUCACGUUUAUUAGUAGGUAUCAACUACCUACGUAGGUACCUAUUUCCUUGUUGAUUUUUCUAGCAAUUAGAGGAACCAUCAUCAUCAUCCCUAAUCGUCGAAUCAAUCAAAAUGCAACUGUGUUAUUUAAAUAGGUCGAGCGCUAUUAAAUGGAUAUUUGAACUUCUCAAGUAACAAAAAUCGACGGCGAAAUGUACUUACUUAUCAAAACUUACUUACUUUAAUACAAGAAGUUCGCAUCGCAUCUCAAUAGUGUGUAACAGGCCUCAAUCAAUUAUGAAACGAUCAAACAUCAAAGUUUCCGGAGUUCGGUGGUAUUUGCUUGGAAAAUUACAAUACGUCUUAAUGUUUGUGAGUUCACGCUGAAAAACGUUAAUAAAGGAUUGUUUAAUUUUACAAAA
Planococcus citri (citrus mealybug) is the source of this 560-nucleotide long non-coding RNA. RefSeq lists it as uncharacterized. Lineage: Eukaryota; Metazoa; Arthropoda; Insecta; Hemiptera; Pseudococcidae. The transcript has 3 exons. The record is from RefSeq and is a predicted model, not a curated record.